ACGGCUCAGUAACACGUGGACAACCUGCCCUGAGGACUGGAAUAAUCCCGGGAAACUGGGGGUAAUUCCAGAUAUGUCAGAACUCCUGGAAUGGGUUCUGGCAGAAAGGCUCCGGCGCCUCAGGAUGGGUCUGCGGCCUAUCAGGGUAGUAGUGGGUGUAACGUACCUACUAGCCUACGACGGGUACGGGUUGUGAGAGCAAGAGCCCGGAGAUGGAUUCUGAGACACGAAUCCAGGCCCUACGGGGUGCAGCAGGCGUGAAAACUUUACAAUGCGGGAAACCGUGAUAAGGGAAUCUCGAGUGCCAGCAUAUAAUGUUGGCUGUCCAGAUGCCUAAAAAGCAUCUGUUAGCAAGGGCCGGGCAAGACCGGUGCCAGCCGCCGCGGUAACACCGGCGGCCCGAGUGGUAACCGCUUUUAUUGGGUCUAAAGGGUCUGUAGCCGGCCAAGUAAGUCCCUUGGGAAAUCUGGCAGCUUAACUGUCAGGCUGCUAGGGGAUACUGCUAGGCUUGGGACCGGGAGAGGUGAGAGGUACCUUGGGGGUAGGGGUGAAAUCUUGUGAUCCUCGGGGGACCACCAGUGGCGAAGGCGUCUCACCAGAACGGGUCCGACGGUAAGGGACGAAAGCUAGGGGCACGAACCGGAUUAGAUACCCGGGUAGUCCUAGCCGUAAACGAUGCUCGCUAGGUGUCAGUCACGGUGCGACCGUGAUUGGUGCCGUAGGGAAGCCGUGAAGCGAGCCACCUGGGAAGUAUGGCCGCAAGGCUGAAACUUAAAGGAAUUGGCGGGGGAGCAC
Molecule: ribosomal RNA, 795 nt
Filed under: Methanosaeta sp. enrichment culture clone L55A_23
Lineage: Archaea; Methanobacteriati; Methanobacteriota; Methanomicrobia; Methanotrichales; Methanotrichaceae
Description: bacterial SSU rRNA
Rfam family: Archaeal small subunit ribosomal RNA
Source: RNAcentral